UACGUAGGUGGCAAGCGUUGUCCGGAUUUAUUGGGCGUAAAGAGCGUGUAGGCGGUUCGGUAAGUCUGUCGUGAAAUCCUGAGGCUCAACCUCGGGCGUGCGAUGGAUACUGCCGGGCUAGAGGAUGGUAGAGGCGAGUGGAAUUCCUGGUGUAGCGGUGGAAUGCGCAGAUAUCAGGAGGAACACCAACGGCGAAGGCAGCUCGCUGGGACGGUACUGACGCUGAGGCGCGAAAGCGUGGGGAGCGAACAGG
RNAcentral lists this ribosomal RNA (253 nucleotides) under uncultured bacterium. Its description in RNAcentral is "partial 16S ribosomal RNA". It matches the Rfam family "Bacterial small subunit ribosomal RNA", at positions 524 to 776 of the family's 1533-position model. The record is from RNAcentral.